Small nucleolar RNA from Callithrix jacchus (white-tufted-ear marmoset), 132 nucleotides. NCBI's taxonomy places the organism in Eukaryota, Metazoa, Chordata, Mammalia, Primates, Cebidae. The record is from Ensembl.
GGCCUCCUGAUGCUUAUCACAGGCUGGGUUCUUACACUGACUGUAUAGAAAGAGGAGGUAGAGUAAACCUACUCCAUAUACACCUCAGCUCAGGCCCUGUGUUUGAUCUGUAUUGUGAAUGGGGGAACAUAG